AAAAAAAAAAAAAAAUUUUUCAUUACGAUUGUUUGGUUGGAAGGAAAAGAAGAAAAAAAAAGUUAAUUAUAAAUAAAAAAUUAUUAUAUAUAUUUUUUAUUUUAUAUAUUAUAUAUUAUUAAUAUAAAAUAAUUAUCAUAUUACAUAUAUUAAUAUUAUAAUUUAUAUUUGUAAAUAAAAUAUAUUUAAAAUAUAUAAUAUAAUAUAUAUAUAUAAUAAAUUUAUAAAUAAUAUAUAUAUAU
RNAcentral lists this long non-coding RNA (242 nucleotides) under Ananas comosus (pineapple). RNAcentral's name for it is "long non-coding RNA (ACOM_LNC022868)". Lineage: Eukaryota; Viridiplantae; Streptophyta; Magnoliopsida; Poales; Bromeliaceae. The record is from RNAcentral.